CGCGGCCUAUCAGCUUGUUGGUGGGGUAGUGGCCUACCAAGGCGACGACGGGUAGCCGGCCUGAGAGGGUGACCGGCCACACUGGGACUGAGACACGGCCCAGACUCCUACGGGAGGCAGCAGUGGGGAAUAUUGCGCAAUGGGCGAAAGCCUGACGCAGCGACGCCGCGUGAGGGAUGUCGGCCUUCGGGUUGUAAACCUCUUUCAGUAGGGACGAGGCGCAAGUGACGGUACCUACAGAAGAAGCACCGGCCAACUACGUGCCAGCAGCCGCGGUAAUACGUAGGGUGCAAGCGUUGUCCGGAAUUAUUGGGCGUAAAGAGCUCGUAGGCGGUCUGUCGCGUCGGCUGUGAAAACCCGAGGCCCAACCUCGGGCCUGCAGUCGAUACGGGCAGACUGGAGUACUGCAGGGGAGACUGGAAUUCCUGGUGUAGCGGUGAAAUGCGCAGAUAUCAGGAGGAACACCGGUGGCGAAGGCGGGUCUCUGGGCAGUUACUGACGCUGAGGAGCGAAAGCGUGGGGAGCGAACAGGAUUAGAUACCCUGGUAGUCCACGCCGUAAACGUUGGGCGCUAGGUGUGGGGGCCAUUCCACGGUCUCCGUGCCGCAGCUAACGCAUUAAGCGCCCCGCCUGGGGAGUACGG
Molecule: ribosomal RNA, 643 nt
Filed under: uncultured bacterium
Lineage: Bacteria
Description: bacterial SSU rRNA
Rfam family: Bacterial small subunit ribosomal RNA
Source: RNAcentral